Platichthys flesus (European flounder) is the source of this 607-nucleotide long non-coding RNA. RefSeq lists it as uncharacterized. The record is from RefSeq and is a predicted model, not a curated record. NCBI's taxonomy places the organism in Eukaryota, Metazoa, Chordata, Actinopteri, Pleuronectiformes, Pleuronectidae. The transcript is spliced from 3 exons.
CUUACCGAGCCAGCUCCUGUUCAGGUACACCGACACGAACACCGGAGGCACCGUGAAGAAGUCCACCACCGAGUUCACCUCCAGCCAGAACCACAGCUUGUCGUUGGCAGCGAUGAACUGGGGAGACAAGGAAGAGUAACACAAUAUGAGAAGCAGCAUUUUGUACAUGGAAAAGACGAUGGAGGGAGAUCUGGCUGCUGUAUCGAAAGUGAGAUUCAAGAGAUAAGAGCAGGAAUCAGCUACUUCGGUUGGACUUACGCGGAGGCCGAAGUACAGCAGGAAGAACACGUUGAACGCCAUGUCGAUCUGCAGCGUGAAGUCCUUGUAGAAGUUGUGACAGGACUCAAUGGGACUGUUGGAGACAGAGACACAGCGAGUUCAUGUCUAAAGAAAGAAGUGACAGUCAAGCCGGAGUUUCCCAUCUCAUCCACAGCACUUCAGUUCAAUGUGAAGCGGGAUCGAGCGGCAGAGUGGCAGACGCAGUGGUUUAAGGGUUAAGUGCAUGCAGGGUUCAUGUCUUCAGGCAGCCAAAGCAAAUGCAGUGAAGUCUCACCCUCAAAACGCUCGUAUCUGGCACCAAGAAUUCAAAUAAAGAGAAAUGAUUAAC